CCUACGGGUGGCAGCAGUGAGGAAUAUUGGUCAAUGGGAGAGAUCCUGAACCAGCCAAGCCGCGUGAGGGAAGACGGCCCUAUGGGUUGUAAACCUCUUUUGUCGGGGAACAAAACCCGGGACGAGUCCCGGACUGCGUGUAUCCGAAGAAAAAGCAUCGGCUAACUCCGUGCCCGCAGCCGCGGUAAUACGGGGGAUGCGAGCGUUAUCCGGGUUUAUUGGGUUUUAAGGGUGCGUAGGCGGUCUGUUCAGGCAGCGGUAAAAUUGCGGGGCUCAACCCCGUCGAGACGUUGAAACUGGCAGACUUGAGUGGGCGAGAAGUACGCGGAAGGCGUGGUGUAGCGGUGAAAUGCAUAGAUAUCGCGCAGAACGCCGAUUGCGAAGGCAGCGUACCGGCGCCAGACUGACGCUGAGGCACGAAAGCGUGGGGAUCGAACAGGAUUAGAUACCCGAGUAGUC
RNAcentral lists this ribosomal RNA (459 nucleotides) under uncultured bacterium. Its description in RNAcentral is "partial 16S ribosomal RNA". It matches the Rfam family "Bacterial small subunit ribosomal RNA", at positions 338 to 795 of the family's 1533-position model. The record is from RNAcentral.